AAUUGAUGUCUGAGAGCCAGACUGAUGAUGUUGUAUGUUUUAUCUUAGAUGGGAUGGGUCUAUCAGAACAAAGCAAGGCUUUGAACACCUUGAGACAGACACAGUGUUAAGGCCCCUCAGAAUUUAUGAAAGUUAAUGAUGAAAAGCACUUCACCAGCAUCAGUGUUUCUGUAACACUGACCACAGGCCUCACAUCAUUCUGUGUGAGGGUGCACCGUGUCAGACAUGUCUGCGAAGUAUUCAUGUCUGGCAAUUUAGAGUAAAUAUUGCAUCAGUAUUUUUAAAUGUCUGGCUCAAUAUGUGAGAAUCUCCAACACAAAUUCCUAAGCUUAAAAUGAACCUUCUCCAGGAGAGCUAAAUGUAGUGCAUUGCGUUAGAGAUGGGAAAAAACGCCAAUGUGGGGACUUAGAAAAAGCCAGUUUGGAACAAAGGUGCCUAGAAUGCAGGAACGCUUGCCCCAGACACUACAUUUGCUCUGUUCUGAGACUUACUGUUCAAGAAGGAGCACUACAGAGCUGGCGGGGACACAGAAGAGAGCAGGAGGAGAGGAAAACACUGAAGAAAUAAACACUGUUAAGGAACUGAUUCUGAAAUCUUUCAACUGAUCGUUCCAGGCACUGGUGCAGGAUAUGAAUUCAAAAAUAUUCAGUUCUGUGGGAAAGGGGGGUGGUAGCACUACAGAUACCAGGGGUCGCAGCCCUGCGCUGUGCACCAGCUUUCCCUGACUCCAAACGCAGGAGAGCAGAGACACCCCCCCCUCCCCAUCCCCAUCUUUCUCUGUUCAGAUACUGCCCCUCAGCAGCAUUUAGUUUUGGGUUGCCUCUAUGGAUAUGCAUGGAAAGCAGCUUCUUCCACACGGCAGAUAUCUUCUCGCAAGAAACAUCUUGUUCUGGGAGGAGUCUUUUUGACAGUGUUCAGGAGCUUAACUGUAAUCUGGCAGCUCAUGGGGACAACUGGUGUGGUGGUACGUCUUCCUGGGAAACAUUCUGAGCAAGAUGCUGGAGGAGCUCAGCAUGCUGAGCAGGAGCAGCCUCAGGUGGUGCCAAUCUAUGUUAAAAAUAAGUCACAGCAUUGUCAAACUACCCCAGUAACAGGCAGAGCUAGCUCCACGCUGAGACAGUAAGAUAGCAUAUGGCUCUGGACAUAUGUGUUCUAUUUUAUGACCCCUUCACUAUUUUUUGAUAGAUAACUGUAGAUAAAUUGUGGAUGUCUUUCAGUUCCAUUAGUUCAACUGAAACCAUUGAAUAAAAAUGCACUUUGAAAAUAUUUUUCAAAAUUGGAACGCCCUUUCAAAGAGCAGAAUUAAAACAUAAAAGAUUGUAGAUUAAAAACACAUGAAAUAAACAGCUCCUGUUCUCC
This 1359-nucleotide long non-coding RNA is filed under the name Gallus gallus (chicken). RNAcentral describes it as "lncRNA (ENSGALG00010009510.1)". The record is from RNAcentral. Lineage: Eukaryota; Metazoa; Chordata; Aves; Galliformes; Phasianidae.